CUUCCCGAGAAUUAGGGAAUCUGGGGCCGUUUCUGCUACUGCUUCUUCUGUUGCUGUUGACUUGAAGACAACCUUAUGAAUUCAAGAAAUCCAGAGGCCUUGGACUGGUGGCAGAGAAAGCUUCUGCCAAGUAGAGGACAGCAACCAGCAAGACUAUUGACCCAAGUUUGGCCCUUUUACCAGCAGACGUCUUCCAGGAGUUGUUUGGACAGUGCGGAGCCAAAGUGAAAUGCAGAAUGCCUAAUUAGUCACAUCAAAGAAUCUGCUUCAUGCUCUGGUGUAAACAGGGGGAAAAGCAGCAUAAACAAAGGAAGUAUAUCUCAGAGUGAGGUGGCUCAGGAUACAAAGAAAAGGAAGAAUAAGCAAUAAGAAA
Long non-coding RNA from Vombatus ursinus (common wombat), 373 nucleotides. RefSeq lists it as uncharacterized. The record is from RefSeq and is a predicted model, not a curated record. The transcript has 3 exons. Lineage: Eukaryota; Metazoa; Chordata; Mammalia; Diprotodontia; Vombatidae.